GUGAAUCAUCGAAUCUUUGAACGCAAAUUGCACUCUCCGGUUUUCCGGGAGAGUAUGCCUGUUUGAGGGUCUGUUUAAAAAAUAAUCGAGGCUGCUGCUGUGGUGGCGCUUCGGAAUUGGGUCAUCUUCCACCUUUCGGGGUUGUAAGCGACCUAAAAUUUUCUUACGAUCUCGCGAACGUUUCUAAGAUUUUCUUGCACGUUCAAGGUAUCGAUAUUAGACGUGACCGUCGUAUCGGAUCGCGUCCAUAAUAAUUUCUUUAACUGACCUCAGACAGGUAAGGGUACCCGCUGAACUUAAG
Molecule: unclassified non-coding RNA, 301 nt
Filed under: Glomus sp.
Lineage: Eukaryota; Fungi; Glomeromycota; Glomeromycetes; Glomerales; Glomeraceae
Description: partial contains 5.8S ribosomal RNA, internal transcribed spacer 2, and large subunit ribosomal RNA
Rfam family: 5.8S ribosomal RNA (bases 1-72)
Source: RNAcentral